Molecule: non-coding RNA, 50 nt
Filed under: Paracoccaceae bacterium
Lineage: Bacteria; Pseudomonadati; Pseudomonadota; Alphaproteobacteria; Rhodobacterales; Paracoccaceae
Description: Rhodobacteraceae bacterium Guanidine-II sequence
Rfam family: Guanidine-II riboswitch aptamer (mini-ykkC)
About the family: Simpler in structure and has fewer highly conserved nucleotide positions than the ykkC-yxkD leader. Despite this each of its two stem-loop structures directly bind free guanidine.
Source: RNAcentral
AAGCGAGGACGACCUCCCCCAUGUCGGGACAGCGCGACGGGACGGCCCGG